RNAcentral lists this transfer RNA (71 nucleotides) under Pteraster jordani. Its description in RNAcentral is "tRNA-Leu". It matches the Rfam family "tRNA". Rfam says of the family: Transfer RNA (tRNA) molecules are approximately 80 nucleotides in length. Lineage: Eukaryota; Metazoa; Echinodermata; Asteroidea; Velatida; Pterasteridae. The record is from RNAcentral.
GUUAGGGUAGCAAAGUGUUAAUGCAAAAGAUUUAGGUUCUUUGAUCAAAGGUUAAAUUCCUUUUUCUAAUU